This 468-nucleotide ribosomal RNA is filed under the name uncultured bacterium. Its description in RNAcentral is "partial 16S ribosomal RNA". It matches the Rfam family "Bacterial small subunit ribosomal RNA", at positions 28 to 507 of the family's 1533-position model. The record is from RNAcentral.
GACGAACGCUGGCGGCGUGCUUAACACAUGCAAGUCGAACGGAAAGGCCCUGCUUUUGUGGGGUGCUCGAGUGGCGAACGGGUGAGUAACACGUGAGUAACCUGCCCUUGACUUUGGGAUAACUUCAGGAAACUGGGGCUAAUACCGGAUAGGAGCUCCUGCUGCACGGUGGGGGUUGGAAAGUUUCGGCGGUUGGGGAUGGACUCGCGGCUUAUCAGCUUGUUGGUGGGGUAGUGGCUUACCAAGGCUUUGACGGGUAGCCGGCCUGAGAGGGUGACCGGCCACAUUGGGACUGAGAUACGGCCCAGACUCCUACGGGAGGCAGCAGUGGGGAAUAUUGCACAAUGGGCGGAAGCCUGAUGCAGCAACGCCGCGUGCGGGAUGAUGGCCUUCGGGUUGUAAACCGCUUUCGCCUGUGACGAAGCGUGAGUGACGGUAAUGGGUAAAGAAGCACCGGCUAACUACGUG